UCUGCCUCUCUCCAUCUCUUAACUUUGUUUUUUUUUCUCUUCCUCUGUUCUAAAACCAACCUCAACAUUGAAGCAAACAGGGUAGUAACGACAUAAAUCCACGACGGCACCUCUAUACAACCAGGGCGGGCCGUCGCGAGUACUUAAAACCAACAUCAAAACUCAUAACCAAACAAUCGUUCCUACACCCAAAUCUAAACAAACAGCAAAAUCCAAAGAGCCAGAUUCGGAAAACAAACACAAUCAGAAACCUGAGUUUUCAGCUCAAAAUCAAAACCAUGGCAACAACAAUUUUAUGCAAUAAUCAUGGGGUUUGCGUUCUAUGAGGCGAUAUAAACAAAGCGGUAACAUCAAAUCAUGUAAAAGGGAAGUGUUAAAUACCAAAUCGGAGCUAGUCCGACGUUCGAAUUCCGGCGAGGUGAGGGGCUUAGCUCGAGCUUGUUGAGCUUCGGUGUGAAAAUCUCAACAAGUUCAAAACGGAGCUUUUUAAUGAGGGUUUUGGAGUGAUUUUUCCAGAGUAACGGUGCAGAGAUUCGGUCUUUUUUCAGUGGAUUUCACUCCCUUCUUAUAGAGGGGUGGUACGAGGUUCAUACGUCCUUAUCCUUCAUGAGCUGGCAAAUCUUGGAUAGGAUCAAUCCGUUAGAGGGAAUUUUUCUUCAGAUUUGGUGUGGUCCCAGGAAUGAAGGUGGCGAAAUCUGUUUCUGUUUUGUCCGUAGUGAAAUCUUCAGAAUCAACAUCAUGUGUUGAGUUUCUCAUUUACCGCGGUGAAAGAUCUACAUGUCGUGGUUUCAUUCAUCUUCAGUCACAGCUUGGCAAGGCACACCUUUCGAAUGACUUCGUGCAUUUUGGCGGACUCUUCCUUCAUAUUCGAUGUAAAAACUCCUUAUCGUGAUCCUGUAAGUCACCACCAAGCCAAUCUAAAUCCAGGUCAAGAAUAUCAUUUGGCGAAUAUUUGUAGCUUACUCGACAACUGUUUUGGAAAUGAUGAGUCUGUGCUCAAAGUGACAGACGGAUUCUUUCUGGCUAGAAAUUUGGAACCGUCGUGUCUGGCUGUUGUAAGGAUUGAAGUCAUGGUGAUGGUGAAUUCAUGAUGCUUGGCAUGACUUUGUUGUUGUAGUGAUUCCGGGCUGGUGUAGAGCAGCAGCAUUUUGUCCUGUUCGGCCUUAGGUUUGUUCGGUAAUGCGGGACAUUGGCCACACGGUCUCAUGGUUUCCGGUUGGUAUACCACAGCCACCUCUUGUUCGUAGCCUUGGCAUGCAGCACUAGCUACCAAUGCUUGUGAAGUGCUAAGUCACGAUUUCAUUAUGCCAUUGAUACUCAGUUUGGUGCGGUUUCUUGAAGGAACAUUGACACUGCAGGGGUGAUGCAUACUUUAUCAUGUUGGUUCACAAAGCAAGCGUAGCAAUUCGCAUUUUGUAAUGACCUUGGACUUUGGCUUGUCUUGUAUGUAGAAUCUAAGACUUCACAUCACGGUUGCAAUCGGGUAUUGUUGAUUUUACCGACUUAGCCUAUGUCAUGACAGUUUUGGUACGGAUGUGAUACUCGGCUGGUGAAUGUAUCUCGGUUAAUGCAUACAACAUGAGAGAAUUCCCAGGGUGGUUUCAUCUAUCAUGGACCUAUCCACUGUACCUUUUUCUUCAACUUGUUAUUUCUGGCGUUGUUGGUAUUGCAGGUCCAUUGUUAUUGAGACAAACUGACUUAUGGCGACAUGAAUAGUUGUGGACCAAGGUUUUUCUCCACGCAUCAUGAUGCUGUAGCACGUCUGUACCUGUUUUAAACUUUGCAUAAUUAGUGUUUCUGCAGGCUGUACUUAACUGAUGUGAUGAUGACAAUUGGUUCCGCGAUCUUGUAUCCGGGAGUGUGGCCUCUAGUUUCUUUGGUUUAUCCUCACAGCUAUGCUACUGUUUUGUUGUUCGCAGCUCGAGAGUUUGGAUUUGAAUGAUGUCGGCUGCCUGUUGGAUUACCUUGCUGUAACCAAAUUUUGUUGUAAAAACAAAUAUCCUUUGGUCUGUUUGUCUUCUUGCUAGUAUUUAUGACGGGAUGCUAUUGCUCUUGUGUUGCAGGAUCUACAACUCAAAUUCUGUCGUUUGUUUGGCUUAAUUUGGACGUGCUUCAUCUGUACUUGGUAUUUGGUCUGCAGUAAUUGGACUUGACAAAAUGCCGUUUUUUUUUGUUGUUGUAGGUUCUGUAUUCAGAGCUGAUGGUGAUAAUUUCAUGUAUUCAUCUACAUUUUUUUUGGGCACAUGGAUUCUUGUUCGCCUUGCUGACACAGCGCUAUUGACUCUUGGAUCCGCCAGUUAUCGCAUGGUACAAGGCGAUACCUUACAAUGUCUUCGGAGGCUAGCGCAAGAAGACGUCCAGGAAGCCGUCACGGCAAACUGAUGUGCACUUUCAACUUUAGAAAUUUACCUCCUACAUUUGGUUUGGUUGUAAUGUCAUUUAGCAACUAGCACUGCUUAUGCUUGGUUAUAUAAUGUAUUCCUUUUGACAUUUGAAGCAAGUGUUUGUAAAACCCAGAAUUUUGUCCAACUAAUGUGUUUUUAAACCAAAACUCCAAGUUGUA
Molecule: long non-coding RNA, 2563 nt
Organism: Lathyrus oleraceus (garden pea)
Lineage: Eukaryota; Viridiplantae; Streptophyta; Magnoliopsida; Fabales; Fabaceae
Exons: 6
Source: RefSeq, a predicted model, not a curated record